Molecule: ribosomal RNA, 303 nt
Filed under: Triticum aestivum (bread wheat)
Lineage: Eukaryota; Viridiplantae; Streptophyta; Magnoliopsida; Poales; Poaceae
Description: partial small subunit ribosomal RNA
Source: RNAcentral
AUGGGAGACCUGAAUGCUAUUAUUUAUUCUUUUGAGAAGGAAGGAGGUAGAGCGAGACCGGAGCAUUGCAUGAAAGCUUUCCGGGACACUCUUGAUGAAUGACAACUUAAUGACUAUGGAUACUUAGGUGACAAGUUUAUGUGGCAUCGCGGUAAUAUUCAGGAAAGGCUUGACCGGGCUUUGGCCAAUGAUGCAUGGAACUAUUUAUUUAGUGGUUCAGCACUUGAACUAUUACAAGUCCAAUCACAGGCCGAUCCUCAUGUCGCUGGACGAGGAAUUGGCACAGGAAAGAGAUGGCCAUAA